ACACAUCAGCAGUGAGGGGAAACAAAACGCGGCACAAACCCUAGCCGCCGCGACUCCGCGAGUCUCCUCCUGCCGCCGCAACGUUCACCAAACUGCUGACUCCUCUCCUCUCCUCGUCGCGUCCCUCUCCUCCCUCUACGAAUCCCUAACUGAAGCAGCGCCGACUCCUCGUCGCCUCCCUUUCUCUUGCAGCGAGACCCCUCCCCUCCUCGUCGAAGCUCGGAACGCGAUCCGAGCUACAAACCCCUAGACGAAGCAAAGCCCUCGGACGCGAGGGAUUCUCUCGCAUCUGAUCUCCCUCGACACUAGGGCAUAUCUCUCCGGUGGCGUUCAGUCUUCCUUCUCCUUAGUCUCCCACUCAUCAGCAGUAUUCCAGGUUGUUGCAUUUGUCACUUUCUUCAAUCAACAAUAGCAACAUUGAGGGCCUUAGAGACAUGGGAAACAGACAACUGAUUUUGCUGUAAUGGGAAACGGACAGCUCAUUUUGUUAUAAUGUUGGCAUGGGAAAGCUGAUUUUAUUGUAAUGCUGGCAUUGGACACCUGAUUUUGUUGUAAUGUUGGCAUGGGAAAGCUGAUUUUGUUGUAAUGCUGGCAUUGGACACCUGAUUUUGUUGUAGUGUUGGCAUAGGAAAGCUGAUUUUGUUGUAAUGCUGGCAUGUGACACUUGAUUUUGUUGUAAUGGGAAACAGACAGCUGAUUUUGUUGUAAUACAUAUUGCUUAUUUGGUUUUCAA
Long non-coding RNA from Zingiber officinale, 733 nucleotides. RefSeq lists it as uncharacterized. The record is from RefSeq and is a predicted model, not a curated record. The transcript has 3 exons. Lineage: Eukaryota; Viridiplantae; Streptophyta; Magnoliopsida; Zingiberales; Zingiberaceae.